GGAUGUGAGGACGAUCUACCUGCGACAUCUGUCACCUCAUUGAUCUUCAGGGUUAAUUCGGCUGAUCUGGCUGGCUAGCCAGGUGUGCCCUUCUUCCCUCGAUGGUCCAUGUGCAUCCCUCCCCAAGCUGCGCACUUAGUGGAAGAGGAUGAACACCCCGCUCCAUAGAGGAGGACCCUUCCUUGGUCAAGGGUAUACAAGUAGCUGAGCUCCCCUGCCAGAACCUCCAAACAACGUCUCAAUAAAAUAAUUACAUUUAUUAUAAAAGAAUAAAUUAGAAAUUAAUUUGAUGAAGAAGUAUAAGAUUCGUAUUCUGAAAACUACAAAAAGUUGAGCGACCACAAGAAGUGGAAAGAUAUUUCUU
RNAcentral lists this small nuclear RNA (364 nucleotides) under Cavia aperea (Brazilian guinea pig). RNAcentral describes it as "7SK RNA (ENSCAPG00000002103.1)". It matches the Rfam family "7SK RNA". Rfam says of the family: 7SK was discovered as an abundant small nuclear RNA in the mid-70s but a possible function has only recently been suggested. The record is from RNAcentral. Lineage: Eukaryota; Metazoa; Chordata; Mammalia; Rodentia; Caviidae.